GCAGUCGAACGAACACCUUAUUCUGAUUUCUUCGGAAUGAAAAAUUUGGUGACUGAGUGGCGGACGGGUGAGUAACGCGUGGGUAACCUGCCUCAUACAGGGGGAUAACAGUUAGAAAUGACUGCUAAUACCGCAUAAGACCACAGCACCGCAUGGUGCAGGGGCAAAAACUCCGGUGGUAUGAGAUGGACCCGCGUCUGAUUAGGUAGUUGGUGGGGUAACGGCCUACCAAGCCGACGAUCAGUAGCCGACCUGAGAGGGUGACCGGCCACAUUGGGACUGAGACACGGCCCAAACUCCUACGGGAGGCAGCAGUGGGGAAUAUUGCACAAUGGGGGAAACCCUGAUGCAGCGACGCCGCGUGAGCGAUGAAGUAUUUCGGUAUGUAAAGCUCUAUCAGCAGGGAAGAAAAUGACGGUACCUGACUAAGAAGCGCCGGCUAAAUACGUGCCAGCAGCCGCGGUAAUACGUAUGGUGCAAGCGUUAUCCGGAUUUACUGGGUGUAAAGGGAGCGUAGACGGAGUGGCAAGUCUGAUGUGAAAACCCGGGGCUCAACCCCGGGACUGCAUUGGAAACUGUCAAUCUAGAGUACCGGAGAGGUAAGCGGAAUUCCUAGUGUAGCGGUGAAAUGCGUAGAUAUUAGGAGGAACACCAGUGGCGAAGGCGGCUUACUGGACGGUAACUGACGUUGAGGCUCGAAAGCGUGGGGAGCAAACAGGAUUAGAUACCCUGGUAGUCCACGCCGUAAACGAUGACUAC
This 759-nucleotide ribosomal RNA is filed under the name uncultured bacterium. Its description in RNAcentral is "bacterial SSU rRNA". It matches the Rfam family "Bacterial small subunit ribosomal RNA", at positions 57 to 816 of the family's 1533-position model. The record is from RNAcentral.